RNAcentral lists this ribosomal RNA (606 nucleotides) under uncultured bacterium. RNAcentral describes it as "bacterial SSU rRNA". The stretch from base 1 to 518 matches the Rfam family "Bacterial small subunit ribosomal RNA", at positions 338 to 873 of the family's 1533-position model. The record is from RNAcentral.
CCUACGGGAGGCAGCAGUGGGGAAUAUUGGACAAUGGGCGAAAGCCUGAUCCAGCAAUGCCGCGUGAGUGAAGAAGGCCUUCGGGUUGUAAAGCUCUUUUACCCGGGAAGAUAAUGACUGUACCGGGAGAAUAAGCUCCGGCUAACUCCGUGCCAGCAGCCGCGGUAAUACGGAGGGAGCUAGCGUUGUUCGGAAUUACUGGGCGUAAAGCGUACGUAGGCGGCUUGGUAAGUCAGAGGUGAAAGCCCACGACUCAAUCGUGGAACUGCCUUUGAGACUGCUUCGCUUGAAGAUGGGAGAGGUUAGUGGAAUUCCGAGUGUAGAGGUGAAAUUCGUAGAUAUUCGGAAGAACACCAGUGGCGAAGGCGGCUAACUGGACCAUUCUUGACGCUGAGGUACGAAAGCGUGGGGAGCAAACAGGAUUAGAUACCCUGGUAGUCCACGCCGUAAACGAUGAUAGCUAGCUGUCGGGGCUCUUGGAGCUUCGGUGGCGCAGCUACGACAUUAAGUUAUCCGUCCGUGGGUAGGUACGGCCGCGAAGGUUAAACGUAACAAUAGAAGUUAGACGGCGUGAGACGUGCCGACGGACGACGACGAGGGAGUAGG